AAAGCUGACCUGCCACUGCCAUGCUAAAAAAGGAGAGUAUAAAGCCGUUAUAAGGAGAUGGUUUUUUUCUUUUGACAGUGUACGAUGAUGAUUGCUUCUCCUCCUUCUACACCUCUUCUACUAUGCUCUGUUUUUCUCUCUCUCCAUCAUUUCUCACCAAUUCCAAUUCCAAUUCUUCAAAAUCCUUUCUUUUUUUACUCUUAGGAUCCACCAUGAAUGCUUAUUACCCUCUGUUUUUAUCAUAACCUUUUCUCUCUCUCUCUUCUUGUAUCAUCAUGACCCAGUUUCUUCACCUUUUUACCCCACCCACCCCUUCUUCUGCUUCUUCUUACUCUGCUCUCUUGUACAGCUGAUCCACUCACCCCCUCCUCUCCAAAACCCCACCUUGACCCCCUUCUGCCUUUUGACCUACUCUCUCUUUUUUUCCACCCACAGUUCUAGGGUUUCCUAUUAUUAUUUUUUUCUCUCUUCAUCCUUUGUGUUCCGCUCUUCCUCUUCAUCUUCCUGCUGCUGCUCCUAUAGCUCUCUCCUUAAACAUCCUUUUCUUUUUUUGUGAAUACAUGUACCAUCUUUUCUGCCAUUUUAGGGGGGUUUUCUGUGUAUAAGAGGUCGGGUUUUCACUGGAUCAACUUUAGUAUAACGUGAAUAGUUUCUGUUUUCUGGUCUACUUACUUCUCCUGUAUCUACUUAAAUCAAAUUGGAUAGUGGAUUAUGGCGUAUCAACAGCAGCCACCAGCUCAAGGUUCAGGUUCCUCUGCUGCUGGCAGUGGGGUUCCAUUCUUUAAUUCUCCUUUUGGGGACACCACCUUCACUAAGGUCUUUGUUGGAGGUCUUGCUUGGGAAACUCAGAGUGACACCCUCAGACGAUUCUUUGAGCAGUUUGGUGAAAUCCUCGAGGCUGUUGUCAUCACUGAUAAAAAUACUGGCCGAUCCAAAGGCUAUGGCUUUGUGACUUUCCGGGACCCUGAGUCUACAAGGAGGGCAUGUGCUGAUCCUGCUCCAAUUAUCGAUGGAAGACGAGCAAAUUGUAAUUUGGCUUCGUUAGGGCGACCUCGUCCUUCUGUGCAAUUUGGACGUCUGAGGUCACCGACUCCAUUUCCAGCAGGGCUACCAGCUGCUCGGGGUGCUUAUGCUGGAAGUUUUGGCUACCAGCAACCGGUUUCUUAUGGCUACCAGCAAGGCUUGAUGUAUUCUCCUUAUGGGUAUGCGACAUAUGGUACGGAUUACGUUUACCCUCAGGGUGUUUACAAUCCUUAUGGAGGUCAACAGUACCUUCCUAUAUAUGGUGUACCUGGAACUGUUAAUGCAACAAUGUAUCCUUACGGCCAGCUAAGUCAGGCUGUUCCUGGAAGUCACAGUUAUACGACAUUGCAGGGUUAUGCAGUGCCAGGACAUCAGAUUCUUCAGUUUGGUGGGCCCGGUGUCAAUGCAAUGACAGCUUCAUCCAUUCCAACUAUUCAAGCACCAUAUCAAACAGGUGUCGGAGCGCCUGUUACACCACAGCCACAGUUUAUACUACCUACUCAUUCUCCUCAAUUUAUGCAAGGUAGCGGUUCUGACCAAAAUGCAGGGUGAGAUUUUAUCAAGGUACUAGAUUGCAGCAGGACUAACAGCAGCAGUAUUGCUACUUGAGAGGCAGGCUUUUAAUCUAGCCUUGCAAAUUAUUCACUUUGCAUUCUAGAGGUUAUAAAAAGUCAUACCCACCAUGAGAGCUCAAUGUCUGAGUCGCUCCUGAUGAUUGAGUGAGGAAACAUGGAAGUUGCGGAUUGCACUUCCUUCAACAUCAUGUAUCUAGGCCCUUGCAUUCUGCUGGUUUCAGGAUCACUGGCAGAGAGUCAUGCAUUUGAGGGAUACUGGAAUAGGUUUCUGGCUCCCUCCUUGUAGCAAUAAACUUUGUAAAAAAUUCACAUCAGAAUCAACCUGUGAUUCAGUUAUAGUCAAAAACUCCCAGAAUAUGCUUUUGGGUGUGUAGAUAGUCAUUGUCUUGCGUGCUGGUGCACCAUGCACCGUGUUUAAAAGUCUUGUGCAUAAAAAACAAACAAGCUUUAGUCUUAAACUUGAGAUUCAUUCUGUAAUUUGGAUGUUUUAUUGAUGAUUCUUGAAGCAAGAAGCUUCAGUUAUUAUCACCAAGGUUGGUGUGACAUGACCAUAAUUUGGGUGCAAAAGCAGUGUUGCAUCAUUUAUUUGUGUUUGGUACUCAGAGCAGACUUUGCCAAUGAAGUUUAUAUUAUUCAUUCCCCUUUAA
This is a non-coding RNA of Solanum lycopersicum (tomato), 2245 nucleotides long. The record is from RefSeq and is a predicted model, not a curated record. Lineage: Eukaryota; Viridiplantae; Streptophyta; Magnoliopsida; Solanales; Solanaceae.